UGCGGGGUAGAGCAGUGGUUAGCUUGCGAGACUCAUAACCUCGAGGUCGUUCGUUCGAAUCGAACCCCCGCAACCA
Molecule: transfer RNA, 76 nt
Filed under: Bacillota bacterium
Lineage: Bacteria; Bacillati; Bacillota
Description: tRNA-Met
Rfam family: tRNA
About the family: Transfer RNA (tRNA) molecules are approximately 80 nucleotides in length. Their secondary structure includes four short double-helical elements and three loops (D, anti-codon, and T loops).
Source: RNAcentral